Acinonyx jubatus (cheetah) is the source of this 2126-nucleotide long non-coding RNA. RefSeq lists it as uncharacterized. The record is from RefSeq and is a predicted model, not a curated record. The transcript is spliced from 3 exons. NCBI's taxonomy places the organism in Eukaryota, Metazoa, Chordata, Mammalia, Carnivora, Felidae.
UGUUGUUACUUUCUGGUGAAAAGUUUCCUCGCUGGGGCCGGGCAUUUCUGGAGGACAGCAUUGGGUGGAGCUGAAAAGGAACGGCCCGCGGGUGCCUGGACCUGGAUGGGGCGGGGUUGGCCAAAUCCCUUCCUUUGGAUUCCACCUCCAGCUAGACCCCGUGGAGCCUGGUUUUCCCAUCUCUGCCCCUCUGCUGAGCCAUUCGAGAGCCCCUACCCAUGGAAGGGCGUGGAGACGACAGGGUGUUUGAGGCCGGAUGUGAGUGGCAGGCAGACACGGAGUCUUCGAAGGGGCGGAGGAGGUGAAACUCACAGCCCCACCUCUCGGCUUCACUGGCGGAGCUGGGAGUUCAAGUUCAUUACAGACCUCAUCUUGUCCCUCCUCACACCAGCCUCCAAAGGCGAGGAUUGCCCUCACUAUUGUGCAGAUGAGGGAACUGAGGCCCGUGACACUUGUGAGACUUGAGGCCAGCCAGCUGAUUCCCUGUCUGAGCUGGGGUGCUUGGCUCAGGCCAGGCUCUCUGCCAGGUGUGUGGCUUGUGUGUGUUAACUCAGUCCACACAACCACCUAAUCCGGGAGGGACUGUCAUGAUCCCCAUGGUACCGAUGAGCAAACACCAGCACAGGGAGGUUCAGCGACUGCCCCAAGGUCACAGAGCUUGUCAGCGACAGAGCCCAGCAUCAACCCCGGCGCCACCGGAUGUCAGAGCCGAUGCUUCAGCCAAGGGGCAGCAAAGCUGCCUCAGAAGCUGGUAAAUGAUGGAGCAGGGCUCAAACCGCUGGCAGCCUGACUCCAGAGCUCCCACCCUCUCUACCACCAGACGCGAGGGACUGAGGAGAGAGGCCCAAGCCUGGGCCCCAGCCAGAGCCGGACGUGCUGUGGCAGGCAUCCAACUUCCGGCCCGGCCAACGCUUUGGAGAAGGGCCAGAGGCAGGGGAAGGCCCCCAAUCAAGGCCUUCCCAGAGCUGGUCCUCAGGCACCCCCGGGGCAGGGACCAGCCUGAACCUGCUGAGGGGAGGACGACAGUCAAGUCUCCCCAACCCAUCCCAGAACAAGGAAUCAGACUCUCCUGCGGUGGGGCUCAGAGAUCUGCAGUUCCGAGAGCCUCACACGUGAUUCUGAAGCAGCCUUCAGACCCCAGCUACCACCUGGGACCCGUGGCCAGAGUCCAGCUUAGAAAGUCUGGGGUAUCAGACCCUAUAGAGAAAAGUGACAACAACAGCCACACGUUGUAUGCGCCAGGAACAUAGCCUGUCCUCCCGUAAGCCUCAUCUCCUCACAGUGACCCAUGAAUGAAGGGGACUCUUGCCAACCCAUUUUUCAGAUGAGGGAACUGACGAUCAGAGAAAGAAGAACCUGCCCGGGUCACCCAGCCGGUGAGGGAGAGCUGGGACUCACACUAAGCCUGGUCUUAGGCCUUCCUUCCUUCGUCCCUCCCUCCCUCCUCCCCUCUCUGCAGGAGGGUCUGGGGUGGCACUGAGAGAGGGAGGGGGCUCCCACCCAGAGAACUCAGGAAGCAGCUUUUGCCCCUCCUUCUCCAUCCAGCUGAGGCCAACCCCCUCUCCCGCGGUGAGAUCAUCUCUGCUUCAAUCACCGCUCAUUCCAUUCGUCAAGCUAAUAAUUAGAAGGUUCUGCUCCUUUGAUAAUCUCUCUUCAGCAAAAAAAAAAAAAAAAAAAAAAAUGGGGCUGGGUCGAGGGUAGAGGUAGAAGACAGAGGCCCCAUCCCGUGCAAGCCACCCACAUUGUGUGCUAGGAGACAUCUCUGGAGAGGGCUCUGCUCUGUGUCCUCAUCUGUAAAACUAACUGGGAAGGGACUGUGAGUACCUCUGUGGUGUCUGAGAUCUGAGGGUGAGGCUGAGAGGAAAGGGGUGCCAGGGGCAGGUGGGGACAUGGGGAAGGGAGUCAGGGGCACGCUCAGAGAAGCCCGGGGCUUAUGCAACCCUGGGGAGCCUCAGUGAGAGAGAGGGAGACACAGACUCUGAAGCAGGGCCCAGGCUCUGAGCCAUCAGCACAGAGCCCGAUGCAGGGCUUGAACCCACGAACUGCGAGAUCAUGACCUGAGCCGAAGUCGGCUGCUUAACCGACUGAGCCACCCAGGCGCCCCUCGUGAUGGUUUUUUUAUUUAU